Molecule: ribosomal RNA, 492 nt
Filed under: uncultured bacterium
Lineage: Bacteria
Description: partial 16S ribosomal RNA
Rfam family: Bacterial small subunit ribosomal RNA
Source: RNAcentral
AGUGAACGCUGGCGGUAGGCCUAACACAUGCAAGUCGAACGGCAGCACAGUAAGAGCUUGCUCUUACGGGUGGCGAGUGGCGGACGGGCGAGGAAUACAUCGGAAUCUACUUUUUCGUGGGGGAUAACGUAGGGAAACUUACGCUAAUACCGCAUACGACCUACGGGUGAAAGCAGGGGAUCUUCGGACCUUGCGCGAUUGAAUGAGCCGAUGUCGGAUUAGCUAGUUGGCGGGGUAAAGGCCCACCAAGGCGACGAUCCGUAGCUGGUCUGAGAGGAUGAUCAGCCACACUGGAACUGAGACACGGUCCAGACUCCUACGGGAGGCAGCAGUGGGGAAUAUUGGACAAUGGGCGCAAGCCUGAUCCAGCCAUACCGCGUGGGUGAAGAAGACCUUCGGGUUGUAAAGCCCUUUUGUUGGGAAAGAAAAGCAGCAGGUUAAUACCCCGCUGUUCUGACGGUACCCAAAGAAUAAGCACCGGCUAACUUCGUG